UCAGCCCUAAACACAAAUAAUUUUAAAAACAAAAUUAUUCGCCAGAGUACUACCGGCAACAGCCUAAAACUCAAAGGACUUGGCGGUGCUUUAUACCCUUCUAGAGGAGCCUGUUCUAUAAUCGAUAAACCCCGAUAAACCUCCCCAAUUCUUGCUAAUACAGUCUAUAUACCGCCAUCUUCAGCAAACCCUAAAAAGGAACAAAAGUAAGCGCAAUCAUCACAUAUAAAA
Molecule: ribosomal RNA, 231 nt
Filed under: Philantomba monticola (Blue duiker)
Lineage: Eukaryota; Metazoa; Chordata; Mammalia; Artiodactyla; Bovidae
Description: partial 12S small subunit ribosomal RNA
Source: RNAcentral